GCGCAGCAGGCGCGAAUCCUCCACAAUGCGGGAAACCGUGAUGGGGGGAAUCCGAGUGCCCGUUGGCUAAUGCUGGCGGGCUUUUCUCAAGCGUAAAAGGCUUGAGGAAUAAGGACUGGGUAAGACCGGUGCCAGCCGCCGCGGUAACACCGGCGGUCCAACUGGUGAUCAGCAUUACUGGGCCUAAAGCGUCCGUAGCCGGAUGGUUGGAUUCUGAGUGAAAUUUUCCCAGCUCAACUAGGGAAGGACGUGCUUGGUAACGAACCCCGCCCGACUCUUUCGGGUACC
RNAcentral lists this ribosomal RNA (288 nucleotides) under uncultured microorganism. RNAcentral's name for it is "partial 16S ribosomal RNA". It matches the Rfam family "Archaeal small subunit ribosomal RNA", at positions 330 to 619 of the family's 1478-position model. The record is from RNAcentral.